GCCGGGAUUUCGGCGGGCUUCCUGAGACAAAAAUGUCUAUGGCUAGCGAUUUCUACCUGCGCUACUAUGUAGGGCACAAGGGCAAGUUUGGACACGAGUUUCUAGAGUUCGAGUUUCGGCCGGACAGAAAGCUUAGAUAUGCCAACAACAGUAAUUACAAAAAUGAUGUCAUGAUCAGAAAAGAGGCCUACGUACACAAGAGUGUAAUGGAAGAAUCGAAGAGAAUUAUUGAUGACAGUGAAAUUACAAAAGAAGAUGAUGCUUUGUGGCCUCCCCCUGACAGGGUUGGUCGACAGGAGCUGGAAAUUGUUAUUGGAGAUGAGCACAUUUCUUUUACCACAUCAAAAAUAGGUUCUCUCAUUGAUGUAAAUCAGUCAAAGGAUCCUGAAGGCCUUCGAGUAUUUUACUACUUGGUACAAGACCUAAAAUGUUUAGUUUUCAGUCUCAUUGGAUUACACUUCAAAAUUAAACCAAUUUAAAUUUUA
Molecule: RNA transcript, 485 nt
Organism: Otolemur garnettii (small-eared galago)
Lineage: Eukaryota; Metazoa; Chordata; Mammalia; Primates; Galagidae
Gene name: protein mago nashi homolog pseudogene
Exons: 1
Source: RefSeq, a predicted model, not a curated record